Molecule: ribosomal RNA, 354 nt
Filed under: uncultured bacterium
Lineage: Bacteria
Description: bacterial SSU rRNA
Rfam family: Bacterial small subunit ribosomal RNA
Source: RNAcentral
GUAGGGUGCAAGCGUUAAUCGGAAUUACUGGGCGUAAAGCGUGCGCAGGCGGUGAUGUAAGACAGUUGUGAAAUCCCCGGGCUCAACCUGGGAACUGCAUCUGUGACUGCAUCGCUGGAGUACGGCAGAGGGGGAUGGAAUUCCGCGUGUAGCAGUGAAAUGCGUAGAUAUGCGGAGGAACACCGAUGGCGAAGGCAAUCCCCUGGGCCUGUACUGACGCUNNUGCNCGAAAGCGUGGGGAGCAAACAGGAUUAGAUACCCUGGUAGUCCACGCCCUAAACGAUGUCAACUGGUUGUUGGGUCUUCACUGACUCAGUAACGAAGCUAACGCGUGAAGUUGACCGCCUGGGGAGU